GACGGACCUGACGAACGGUAUUCGGAAUCACUGGGCUUAAAGGGUGCGUAGGCGGCGCGGAAAGUUGGGUGUGAAAUCCCUCGGCUCAACCGAGGAACUGCGCCCAAAACUGCCGUGCUCGAGGGAGACAGAGGUGAGCGGAACUUAGGGUGGAGCGGUGAAAUGCGUUGAUAUCCUAAGGAACACCUGUGGCGAAAGCGGCUCACUGGGUCUCUUCUGACGCUGAGGCACGAAAGCUAGGGGAGCAAACGGG
RNAcentral lists this ribosomal RNA (253 nucleotides) under uncultured bacterium. RNAcentral describes it as "partial 16S ribosomal RNA". It matches the Rfam family "Bacterial small subunit ribosomal RNA", at positions 524 to 776 of the family's 1533-position model. The record is from RNAcentral.